RNAcentral lists this ribosomal RNA (771 nucleotides) under Bacillus subtilis. RNAcentral describes it as "bacterial SSU rRNA". It matches the Rfam family "Bacterial small subunit ribosomal RNA", at positions 110 to 863 of the family's 1533-position model. Lineage: Bacteria; Bacillati; Bacillota; Bacilli; Caryophanales; Bacillaceae. The record is from RNAcentral.
GUAACACGUGGGUAACCUGCCUGUAAGACUGGGAUAACUCCGGGAAACCGGGGCUAAUACCGGAUGGUUGUUUGAACCGCAUGGUUCAAACAUAAAAGGUGGCUUCGGCUACCACUUACAGAUGGACCCGCGGCGCAUUAGCUAGUUGGUGAGGUAACGGCUCACCAAGGCGACGAUGCGUAGCCGACCUGAGAGGGUGAUCGGCCACACUGGGACUGAGACACGGCCCAGACUCCUACGGGAGGCAGCAGUAGGGAAUCUUCCGCAAUGGACGAAAGUCUGACGGAGCAACGCCGCGUGAGUGAUGAAGGUUUUCGGAUCGUAAAGCUCUGUUGUUAGGGAAGAACAAGUACCGUUCGAAUAGGGCGGUACCUUGACGGUACCUAACCAGAAAGCCACGGCUAACUACGUGCCAGCAGCCGCGGUAAUACGUAGGUGGCAAGCGUUGUCCGGAAUUAUUGGGCGUAAAGGGCUCGCAGGCGGUUUCUUAAGUCUGAUGUGAAAGCCCCCGGCUCAACCGGGGAGGGUCAUUGGAAACUGGGGAACUUGAGUGCAGAAGAGGAGAGUGGAAUUCCACGUGUAGCGGUGAAAUGCGUAGAGAUGUGGAGGAACACCAGUGGCGAAGGCGACUCUCUGGUCUGUAACUGACGCUGAGGAGCGAAAGCGUGGGGAGCGAACAGGAUUAGAUACCCUGGUAGUCCACGCCGUAAACGAUGAGUGCUAAGUGUUAGGGGGGUUUCCGCCCCCUUAGUGCUGCAGCUAACGCAUUAA